This 406-nucleotide ribosomal RNA is filed under the name uncultured bacterium. Its description in RNAcentral is "partial 16S ribosomal RNA". It matches the Rfam family "Bacterial small subunit ribosomal RNA", at positions 28 to 526 of the family's 1533-position model. The record is from RNAcentral.
GAUUAACGCUGGCGGCGUGCCUAACACAUGCAAGUCGAACGAAGUGGCGGACGGGUGAGUAACGCGUGAGUAACCUGCCUUAGAGAAGGGGAUAGCCUUUGGAAACGAAGAAUAAUACCCUAUACUCUAAGAGUGAGUUGCGUCUGAUUAGUUAGUUGGAGGGGUAACGGCCCACCAAGACAGGGAUCAGUAGCCGGCAUGGGGGAGUGGACGGCCACAUUGGGACUGGGACAAGGCCCAGACUCUACGGGAGGCAGCAGGGGGGAAUGUGGCACAAUGGGGGAAACCCUGAUGCAGCGACGCCGCGUGAUUUAGAAGGCCUUCGGGUUGUAAAAAUCUUUUCUAUGGGAAGCGGUACCAUAGGAAUAAGGACCGGCUAAUUACGUGCCAGCAGCCGCGGUAAUUC